GAGAAGUCAGGCCAGAUUAAGCCAUAGUACGGAAAGAGCUAUGCUGCCUGUGAGMCMCGUCCAAGGACGUAAAAUGARGUCAGGCCGAAAGCCACGGAUUGGGCAAGCCGUGCUGCCUGUGGCUCCAU
Molecule: long non-coding RNA, 128 nt
Filed under: dengue virus type 1
Lineage: Riboviria; Orthornavirae; Kitrinoviricota; Flasuviricetes; Amarillovirales; Flaviviridae
Description: dengue virus type I partial sfRNA1
Source: RNAcentral